ACGUAGGACACAAGCGUUAUCCGGAGUUACUGGGCGUAAAGGGCGUGUAGGCGGAUAUGUAAGUCUACUCUGAAAGCUUCUGGCUAAACUGGAAGAGGCGAGUGGAGACUGCAUGUCUAGAGUGAGGAAGAGGAAAGUGGAAUUCCGCGUGUAGUGGUGAAAUGCGUAGAGAUGCGGAGGAACACCAGUGGCGAAAGCGGCUUUCUGGUCCUUAACUGACGCUGAGGCGCGAAAGCAUGGGGAGCGAACGGGAUUAGAAACCCCGGUAGUCCAUGCCGUAAACGAUGUUCACUAAACGUUCGUUUCCCGCGAGGGAAGCGGGUGUGGAAGCUAACGCAGUAAGUGAACCGCCUGGGGAGUACGGUCGCAAGGCUA
This 375-nucleotide ribosomal RNA is filed under the name uncultured bacterium. Its description in RNAcentral is "bacterial SSU rRNA". It matches the Rfam family "Bacterial small subunit ribosomal RNA", at positions 525 to 896 of the family's 1533-position model. The record is from RNAcentral.